GCAUGCGGCAGCUACACAUGCAAGUCGAGCGGUAACAUUUCAAAAGCUUGCUUUUGAAGAUGACGAGCGGCGGACGGGUGAGUAAUGCCUGGGAAUAUGCCUUGAUGUGGGGGAUAACCAUUGGAAACGAUGGCUAAUACCGCAUAAUGCCUACGGGCCAAAGAGGGGGAUCUUCGGACCUCUCGCGUCAAGAUUAGCCCAGGUGGGAUUAGCUAGUUGGUGAGGUAAUGGCUCACCAAGGCGACGAUCCCUAGCUGGUCUGAGAGGAUGAUCAGCCACACUGGAACUGAGACACGGUCCAGACUCCUACGGGAGGCAGCAGUGGGGAAUAUUGCACAAUGGGCGCAAGCCUGAUGCAGCCAUGCCGCGUGUGUGAAGAAGGCCUUCGGGUUGUAAAGCACUUUCAGUCGUGAGGAAGGUUCAUACGUUAAUAGCGUAUGGAUUUGACGUUAGCGACAGAAGAAGCACCGGCUAACUCCGUGCCAGCAGCCGCGGUAAUACGGAGGGUGCGAGCGUUAAUCGGAAUUACUGGGCGUAAAGCGCAUGCAGGUGGUUCGUUAAGUCAGAUGUGAAAGCCCGGGGCUCAACCUCGGAACUGCAUUUGAAACUGGCGGACUAGAGUACUGUAGAGGGGGGUAGAAUUUCAGGUGUAGCGGUGAAAUGCGUAGAGAUCUGAAGGAAUACCGGUGGCGAAGGCGGCCCCCUGGACAGAUACUGACACUCAGAUGCGAAAGCGUGGGGAGCAAACAGGAUUAGAUACCCUGGUAGUCCACGCCGUAAACGAUGUCUACUUGGAGGUUGUGGCCUUGAGCCGUGGCUUUCGGAGCUAACGCGUUAAGUAGACCGCCUGGGGAGUACGGUCGCAAGAUUAAAACUCAAAUGAAUUGACGGGGGCCCGCACAAGCGGUGGAGCAUGUGGUUUAAUUCGAUGCAACGCGAAGAACCUUACCUACUCUUGACAUCUAGAGAAGCCAGCGGAGACGCAGUGUGCCUUCG
RNAcentral lists this ribosomal RNA (996 nucleotides) under Vibrio sinensis. RNAcentral's name for it is "bacterial SSU rRNA". It matches the Rfam family "Bacterial small subunit ribosomal RNA", at positions 35 to 1021 of the family's 1533-position model. Lineage: Bacteria; Pseudomonadati; Pseudomonadota; Gammaproteobacteria; Vibrionales; Vibrionaceae. The record is from RNAcentral.